RNAcentral lists this long non-coding RNA (748 nucleotides) under Ursus maritimus (polar bear). Its description in RNAcentral is "lncRNA (ENSUMAG00000018953.1)". The record is from RNAcentral. Lineage: Eukaryota; Metazoa; Chordata; Mammalia; Carnivora; Ursidae.
CAAAGACUUCACUCCAAGGCAAGCUAGUGAGAGCUGAGCAGGCAGGCCGGCAGGAGCUGUUAGGGCUCAGUGGAUAACUCAGUCUGAGGCCCCUUGACCGUGAGAGGCUACGUCUGACCCCAGCACAGAGAGAGAGCCUCACACCUCCCAGCUGUGCAGAGCCGUGAGACUGGGCUGGCUCCCCGUGGGGCGGGCGCCCCCUCCAGCUGUCUGUGCCUCCUUCCCUCCUUGUCUGCCUGGGACACUGGCAUGAGCACGUGAGAGAUGGAGCUGGGACACCACCUUGUGACCAUGAGGCAGCACGCCUGAGCCUGGUUGCAUUUGUCUUGUGGGAGCCGGUGGAUUUGAGGAAAUGCCCCUGUAGGUGGUGUAUUGGGUGAUGGGUAAUUUUAUGUGUGGACUCCACCGACUGGCCAGGGUGUGCCAAGAUUAAACUCCAUUCUGGGUGUCUCUGCAUUGUGCUCCCGGAUGAAACUGGAAUUUGAAUUAGUAGACUCAGAGAAAAGCAGAUGGCCCGCCCCCGAGUGGGCCUCAGGCGAUUCCUGACGGCCUGAAUAGAGAGAGAGAGGGAGGAAGGAGGAGGUUUCUGCCUUGCUGCCUGGGCGGGGACGUAGCUCCUCUUCCCCUGCGCGCAGACCGGGCUUAAAACUACCCGCAGGCGCUGGGUUGUGGGACUUCGCUGCCUCCGUAAUUGUGUGAACCAAUUCCUCAUAAUAAAUUUCCAUUUCCACCCCCCCCCCCUUGGUUC